AUACGUAGGGGGCGAGCGUUGUCCGGAAUGAUUGGGCGUAAAGGGCGCGUAGGCGGCCUGUUAAGUCUGGAGUGAAAGUCCUGUUUUCAAGAUGGGAAUUGCUUUGGAUACUGAUGGGCUUGAGUGCAGGAGAGGUUAUCGGAAUUCCCGGUGUAGCGGUGAAAUGCGUAGAGAUCGGGAGGAACACCAGUGGCGAAGGCGGCUAACUGGACUGCAACUGACGCUGAGGCGCGAAAGUGUGGGGAGCAAACAGGAUUAGAUACCCUGGUAGUCCACACUGUAAACGAUGAAUGCUAGGUGUAAGAGGUAUCGACCCCUUUUGUGCCGGAGUUAACACAAUAAGCAUUCCGCCUGGGGAGUACGGCCGCAAGGUUGAAACUCAAAGGAAUUGACGGGG
This 397-nucleotide ribosomal RNA is filed under the name uncultured bacterium. Its description in RNAcentral is "partial 16S ribosomal RNA". It matches the Rfam family "Bacterial small subunit ribosomal RNA", at positions 523 to 918 of the family's 1533-position model. The record is from RNAcentral.